This 314-nucleotide unclassified non-coding RNA is filed under the name Hevea brasiliensis (rubber tree). Lineage: Eukaryota; Viridiplantae; Streptophyta; Magnoliopsida; Malpighiales; Euphorbiaceae. The record is from RNAcentral.
AGCCAUGGAGAUACACCGGGAAAGAAGUGAACAUGGAGAGAGAGGACAUAUAGCUGCUUCUGAAGAAAUGGUGGGAUAUAUAUACGAGGAUUGAGUCGUUGGACUACAACAGUGUUGUGCCUGAUUAUAACGGAAAACUUGGAUCCUAAUUGCUGCAUUUACUGAGGAAGAAGUGGUCCACUAGAUGAGUGCUCUAUCUGGAGCUUGAAAAAAUAAAUAAAUAUUUAGAUUAUUCGAUAAGGGGUGAUAUUAAUUAUGGAUAUGUCAACUUUAUAUAUAUAUAUCUGGACAAGUAUUGGCUUUAUUAGUUUUGG